RNAcentral lists this ribosomal RNA (500 nucleotides) under uncultured bacterium. Its description in RNAcentral is "partial 16S ribosomal RNA". It matches the Rfam family "Bacterial small subunit ribosomal RNA", at positions 30 to 523 of the family's 1533-position model. The record is from RNAcentral.
AUUGAACGCUGGCGGCAUGCCUUACACAUGCAAGUCGAACGGCAGCACGGGAGCAAUCCUGGUGGCGAGUGGCGAACGGGUGAGUAAUGUAUCGGAGCGUGCCCAGUCGUGGGGGAUAGCGCAGCGAAAGCUGUGCUAAUACCGCAUACGAUCUAUGGAUGAAAGCGGGGGAUCGCAGGACCUCGCGCGAUUGGAGCGGCCGAUAUCAGAUUAGGUAGUUGGUGGGGUAAAGGCCCACCAAACCUGCGAUCUGUAGCUGGUCUGAGAGGACGAUCAGCCACACUGGGACUGAGACACGGCCCAGACUCCUACGGGAGGCAGCAGUGGGGAAUUUUGGACAAUGGGCGCAAGCCUGAUCCAGCAAUGCCGCGUGCAGGAUGAAGGCCUUCGGGUUGUAAACUGCUUUUGUACGAGACGAAAAGACUCGCUCUAAUACAGUGGGUACAUGACGGUAUCGUAAGAAUAAGCACCGGCUAACUACGUGCCAGCAGCCGCGGUAA